CUGCGGAGGAUCAUUAACGAGUUGAACGGGGUUGUAGCUGGCCUUCACAGGCAUGUGCACACCCCACUCAUCCACUCUACACCUGUGCACUUACUGUGGGUUUCGAGAGGCCGCGCUUGCGUGGUUGAUCGGGCUCACGUCUAUUACAAACUCUUCAGUAUCRGAAUGUGUAUCGCGAUGUAACGCAUCUAUAUACAACUUUCAGCAACGGAUCUCUUGGCUCUCGCAUCGAUGAAGAACGCAGCGARAUGCGAUAAGUAAUGUGAAUUGCAGAAUUCAGUGAAUCAUCGAAUCUUUGAACGCACCUUGCGCUCCUUGGUAUUCCGAGGAGCAUGCCUGUUUGAGUGUCGUGUAAUUCUCAACCUAUAAAUCCUUGCGGUUUUUAGGCUUGGACUUGGAGGCUUUUGCUGGCUUUACCGUCGGCUCCUCUUAAAUGCAUUAGCUUGAUUCCUUGCGGAUCGGCUCUCAGUGUGAUAAUUAUCUGCGCUGUGACCGUGAAGCGUUUGGCAAGCUUCUAACCGUCUCUUUGAGACAAACACUUUGACAUCUGACCUCAAAUCAGGUAGGACUACCCGCUGAACUUAA
Molecule: ribosomal RNA, 585 nt
Filed under: uncultured Polyporales
Lineage: Eukaryota; Fungi; Basidiomycota; Agaricomycetes; Polyporales
Description: eukaryotic LSU rRNA
Rfam family: 5.8S ribosomal RNA (bases 197-350)
Source: RNAcentral